This is a long non-coding RNA of Eublepharis macularius, 504 nucleotides long. RefSeq lists it as uncharacterized. NCBI's taxonomy places the organism in Eukaryota, Metazoa, Chordata, Lepidosauria, Squamata, Eublepharidae. The transcript is spliced from 3 exons. The record is from RefSeq and is a predicted model, not a curated record.
CGCUUGCACCCACCCUCUGCCAAUCCCCAGUUAUUGUUAUUUUUCUUUUCAGAAUCAACCACUCCAGCAGAACUCAUCUAGCUUUGCAGGAAAAGGCUGCACCAAUGUGGUCACAGCAAGUGAGCCAAGACUGGGGGAUCCUGCCAAAAUCUAAAGCGGUGCCGUCCAAACGUGGGAACCCAGAAAAGCAGGAGGCGGUGGACGCUGACGCUGACUCCGGAGCAGAAGUUGAAUUUCCAGAAAUAGAGCCAACCUACACCCUUCUCGGCUACCCUUGCUCCACGUUCUUCCAAGCAGAAAGCAACUCCCCUACCAGUGACACUCACAUAGAACAGGAAUCUUUGUGAUAACCCGGCACCACUGGGACCAGAGCAUAUCACAUUAUCCUCCUGGAACCCCUUUUCUUUAGAGAUGGAUUCUGACAAACCAAAUGCAAACAUCAAGUUUUAGAUGCCAAUUGGUUGCUUGCUGUUUGUACAUUCUGUCUCCUGAUCCUGGUAGUAA